CACGUAGGCACCAAGCGUUGUCCGGAUUUAUUGGGCGUAAAGAGCUCGUAGGCGGUUCGGUAAGUCGGGUGUGAAAACUCUGGGCUCAACCCAGAGCCGCCACCCGAUACUGCUGUGACUCGAGUGCGGUAGGGGAGCGGGGAAUUCCUGGUGUAGCGGUGAAAUGCGCAGAUAUCAGGAGGAACACCGAUGGCGAAGGCAGGUCUCUGGGCCACUACUGACGCUGAGAAGCGAAAGCAUGGGGAGCGAACAGG
RNAcentral lists this ribosomal RNA (254 nucleotides) under uncultured bacterium. RNAcentral describes it as "partial 16S ribosomal RNA". It matches the Rfam family "Bacterial small subunit ribosomal RNA", at positions 524 to 776 of the family's 1533-position model. The record is from RNAcentral.